GACGAACGCUGGCGGCGUGCUUAACACAUGCAAGUCGAACGAUGAAGCGGCCAGCUUGCUGGUGGUGGAUUAGUGGCGAACGGGUGAGUAACACGUGAGUAACCUGUCCUUCACUCUGGGAUAAGCCCUGGAAACGGGGUCUAAUACUAGAUAUUCUCAAUGUGCCGCAUGGUGUGUUGUGGAAAGAUUUUUUGGUGAGGGUUGGACUCGCGGCCUAUCAGCUUGUUGGUGGGGUAGUGGCCUACCAAGGCUUUGACGGGUAGCCGGCCUGAGCCAUGAUCAAACUCUUGAUUACG
RNAcentral lists this ribosomal RNA (296 nucleotides) under uncultured bacterium. Its description in RNAcentral is "partial 16S ribosomal RNA". It matches the Rfam family "Bacterial small subunit ribosomal RNA", at positions 28 to 328 of the family's 1533-position model. The record is from RNAcentral.